Molecule: ribosomal RNA, 497 nt
Filed under: uncultured bacterium
Lineage: Bacteria
Description: partial 16S ribosomal RNA
Rfam family: Bacterial small subunit ribosomal RNA
Source: RNAcentral
GAUGAACGCUGGCGGCGUGCCUAAUACAUGCAAGUCGAGCGAACAGACGAGGAGCUUGCUCCUCUGACGUUAGCGGCGGACGGGUGAGUAACACGUGGAUAACCUACCUAUAAGACUGGGAUAACUUCGGGAAACCGGAGCUAAUACCGGAUAACAUGUUGAACCGCAUGGUUCAACGGUGAAAGACGGUCUUGCUGUCACUUAUAGAUGGAUCCGCGCCGCAUUAGCUAGUUGGUAAGGUAACGGCUUACCAAGGCAACGAUGCGUAGCCGACCUGAGAGGGUGAUCGGCCACACUGGAACUGAGACACGGUCCAGACUCCUACGGGAGGCAGCAGUAGGGAAUCUUCCGCAAUGGGCGAAAGCCUGACGGAGCAACGCCGCGUGAGUGAUGAAGGUCUUCGGAUCGUAAAACUCUGUUAUUAGGGAAGAACAAAUGUGUAAGUAACUAUGCACGUCUUGACGGUACCUAAUCAGAAAGCCACGGCUAACUACGUG